UGGGGAAUCUUCCGCAAUGGGCGAAAGCCUGACGGAGCAACGCCGCGUGAAUGAAGAAGGCCUUCGGGUCGUAAAGUUCUGUCAUUAGGGACGAAUAAGCCAUGCGAAUAGUUUGGUGUAUGACGGUACCUAAGGAGGAAGCUCCGGCUAACUACGUGCCAGCAGCCGCGGUAAUACGUAGGGAGCAAGCGUUAUUCGGAAUCACUGGGCGUAAAGAGUACGUAGGCGGCAAGGUAAGUCUGAUGUGAAAUGCGGGAGCUUAACUUCCGAACGGCAUUGGAUACUGCUUUGCUAGAGCAAUGGAGGGGAAACCGGAAUUCUCGGUGUAGCAGUGAAAUGCGUAGAUAUCGAGAGGAACACUCGUGGCGAAGGCGGGUUUCUGGACAUUAGCUGACGCUGAGGUACGAAGGCCAGGGUAGCGAAAG
RNAcentral lists this ribosomal RNA (425 nucleotides) under uncultured bacterium. Its description in RNAcentral is "bacterial SSU rRNA". It matches the Rfam family "Bacterial small subunit ribosomal RNA", at positions 355 to 774 of the family's 1533-position model. The record is from RNAcentral.